This is an RNA transcript of Zonotrichia leucophrys gambelii, 1080 nucleotides long. It is a transcript of the gene named RecQ mediated genome instability 2, with no coding region annotated. Lineage: Eukaryota; Metazoa; Chordata; Aves; Passeriformes; Passerellidae. The transcript has 8 exons. The record is from RefSeq and is a predicted model, not a curated record.
AGGCCUGACUUUACCAGGCCACAGCUGUAAGCAAUGAGAAGCAGAGUGCUAGAAAAGAGUGGGGUGGCUGGGUGAGAAGGGAACUGGAGUCAGUGGCUGCUGUGGGAAGAGGAAAGAGUCAGUGCUGUGAGGAGCUGCCCAUGAGAAAACGCUCAGAAGAUACACAGCCCUGCAGGCAGUGAAGAAAAUGUUCUUUGAAUGACAGUCCCUGACACAUUUAGGAGGGGAACACAGGAGUAAGAAGCAUUAAGAAAAAUUUGGGGUUCAGGCACAGAAGGGAUUGUGGUCUGUUGCUGUGUAGAGACUGGAAAAAGUCUAACACAGGUGCAGAGUACUGCAAAUUCCCUAUUUGACCUUGCUACUACUUUAUUAAAACUGAGGAUGAGAGAUUUGACAGCUGAAAUUACUACAGAAAUCUUCAGGAGAUUCCUGCUGUCCUCCUUAGAUGUGACACCACCCUUAAAUCAGUGUACACAGCCCCGUUGGAGCAGGCGGUGGCCGCGGGCAGGGUCGAGAGGUGCUGCGGGGGAAAUCCGAGCACGGAAGCGCUCUGAGGGCACAGGGAGGUCGGGGGACAUUCGAGCUCUCCAUUCCCAUCGUGCCGUUUCCUUUCCUGCAUCCUCUCCCUGGCCUCAGCAGUUGUGCCCCGGGAGCAGCUCCGGGCAGCAGGAUCCCGCAGGUCACUGUACCCAGCAGAGGGCACUGCGGAAAGGGGAACGGGCACAGCUGCUGGACGGAGCACUCGGGGAAACUGCUCCAGAUAAAGGACUGAAGGUGAAAACCCUGCCACUAGUCCAGGUGAUUCUGACCCGUGCUCUGGCAGCUUAAGGAGCACUUGCUGCUUUUUGCAAGGUGAAUUCGACUUAGGGUCUAUUUGGAGUUUGAACAAGCCCAUCUGGAAGCCAGCUCUGCAGACCAUUUCCAGAGCAGCAAACAGUACUGGGAAGUAUGUAAUGGUGAUGGGUGUGGUGCGGUCCUGCAGUCCGGAGCCCAUUCUUCGAGCAAUAAAGAUGACAGAUCUCUCUGAAAACCCCAUUCAUAAGAAUAUGUGGAACCUUGAAGUGGAGGAUUUGCACAGAG